AUGAGAUUGGGACUUGGGUGGUGGCGGCCGUCUAGGUUUAAUGCAAGAUUUAUAGGGAAUCAUGGUUUCUCAAUUGGUGUGGAUGAUGUCCAACCAGGAGAAAGUUUAAAUCAGAAAAAGAAAAUAACAAUAGAUGAAGGGUAUGAAAAAUGCCAUGAGCUUAUUGCCCUAUAUUCCAAAGGUGACCUCAUACCGCAACCUGGUUGCAACAGAGCUCAAACACUGGAGUCUCAGAUAUCUUGUCUUCUAAAUAAGUUAAGAGAAACGGCUGGAGAUGAUUGUAUGAGUACGCUUCACUGGAGGAACAGCCCAUUGAUUAUGUCUCAGUGUGGAUCUAAAGGUUCUCCAAUCAAUAUUAGUCAGAUGGUUGUAUGUGUUGGACAACAAUCAGUUGGAGGACGCCGUGCCCCAAACGGUUUUAUAGAUCGAACACUUCCCCACUUUCCUAUUAAUUCAAAGACCCCUGCGGCGAAAGGUUUUGUUGCUAAUUCCUUCUAUACGGGUUUGACUGCUACUGAGUUUUUCUUCCAUACGAUGGGUGGACGAGAAGGUCUCGUUGACACAGCGGUCAAAACAGCAGAAACUGGAUAUAUGUCCCGCAGACUAAUGAAGGGUCUUGAAGAUCUCUCAGUUUUCUAUGAUCAGACUGUCCGUAAUGCUAGCGGCGGUAUUGUUCAGUUUGUCUAUGGAGAUGAUGGUAUGGAUCCUGUAAAGAUGGAAGGAAAAGGUGGCCGUCCCUUAAAUUUGGACCAAUUGUUUAUGAAAGUCAUGGCCACAUGUCCGCAAAGGGGACAUGACACGUUAUCUCCAGAGUUAAUCUUGCAAAUGCUUAAUGAUAAGCUCUCCGGACAAGAUGCCUCAUCUGGUGGUUGUAGUGAUAAGUUCAAGGAGAUGUUAAGAAAAUUCUUUGAGGACCGCAUCAAAAUGCUUAGAAGCACAUGGAGAGCGCUUCAACUAGAUGAAGAUCGUGUGGGAAAGAGGGACUCUAGCAUUGAAGAACGCGUUGCUGCUGAUAUUUCUGGCAUAUCUGCGAAACAACUGCAGGUUUUCUUGGACACUUGCUUAUCUCGUUAUCACUCAAAAAUAAUCGAAGCAGGAGCAUCAAUUGGGGCAAUUGGGGCACAGAGUAUUGGAGAGCCUGGGACCCAAAUGACAUUGAAAACCUUCCAUUUUGCAGGAGUAGCUAGCAUGAAUGUUACUCUUGGAGUUCCCCGCAUUAAGGAAAUCAUCAAUGCUGUUAAAAAGAUAAGCACACCAAUUAUCACUACAGAACUUUUGUCUGAGCAGGAUGAGUUAUUUGCAGCCAAAGUGAAAUGUUCUAUUGAGAAAGUAGUGCUGGGUGAGGUGGCAGCAGCCAUAAAGAUUGUCUUAAGAUCAAACCAGCCACAUUUGGUUGUUGAACUCGAUAUGCAGCGCACAGAAAGGUACAUGGGAAUCUCUUCUGACACUGUGCAGCUGUCAAUACUAAAUGAUCCAAAAAUAAAGUUAAAGUCUGAGCAUGUUCGUGUCAUCGAUGAAACCAAGUUGAGAAUAUAUCCAACUGGAACAGAUAAGUCCAAACUUCAGCUUGAGCUGCACAAUCUCAAAUCGAUGCUUCCAAAACUGAUUGUAAAGGGCAUUUCAACUGUUGAAAGAGCUGUUGUCAACCCUGUUUUAAGACGCGAUGGAACUUUCGACAGAUACAACCUGUUGGUUGAAGGAACAAACCUCCUGAAAGUUUUGGGUACUCCUGGAGUUGAUGCUAAGAGAACAAAAAGUAACCACAUUUUGGAAGUGAACAAAACACUUGGAAUUGAAGCUGCAAGGAGAUCUAUCAUUGAUGAAAUUCGGUAUACCUUUGAAAAUAACAACAUGAUGAUUGAUCUGAGACAUAUGAUGCUUCUGGCAGACCUGAUGACAUACAAGGGCGAAAUUUUGGGCAUCACGGCUGGUGGCAUCGCGAAGAUGAAAAGCAGCGUGCUGAUGCUGUCUUCAUUCGAGAGAGCUUCGGAGCAUCUCUUCAAUGCUUCGUACGCUGGUCGCGAGGAUCAGAUAGAGGGAGUUAGUGAAUGCAUCAUCAUGGGCAUACCCAAGCAACUCGGCACUGGUAUCCUCAAAGUCAGGCAAAGGCUCCAGGAUUUGCCUGAAUUCAAGUACCAGCCUGAUCCAAUUCUACUGUGA
This 2160-nucleotide ribosomal RNA is filed under the name Triticum aestivum (bread wheat). RNAcentral's name for it is "partial small subunit ribosomal RNA". The record is from RNAcentral. Lineage: Eukaryota; Viridiplantae; Streptophyta; Magnoliopsida; Poales; Poaceae.